Molecule: RNase P RNA, 384 nt
Filed under: Porticoccaceae bacterium LTM1
Lineage: Bacteria; Pseudomonadati; Pseudomonadota; Gammaproteobacteria; Cellvibrionales; Porticoccaceae
Description: RNase P RNA component class A
Rfam family: Bacterial RNase P class A
About the family: Ribonuclease P (RNase P) is a ubiquitous endoribonuclease, found in archaea, bacteria and eukarya as well as chloroplasts and mitochondria. Its best characterised activity is the generation of mature 5'-ends of tRNAs by cleaving the 5'-leader elements of precursor-tRNAs.
Source: RNAcentral
GGAGUCGGCCAGGCAAUCGCUGCCCGGUUAUCUCGGCAAUCAUCUUCGGAUAUUGGCGGGAGUCGGGGGGAGGAAAGUCCGGGCUCCAUAGGGUAGAGUGCCAGGUAAUUCCUGGGGGGCGCGAGCCUACGGAAAGUGCAGCAGAGAGUAGACCGCCUAAGUCUUCGAAAGGAGACCGGUAAGGGUGAAAGGGUGCGGUAAGAGCGCACCGCGCAACUGGUAACAGUUUGUGGCACGGUAAACCCCACUCGGAGCAAGACCAAAUAGGCCUUCAUUGGUGUGACCCGCACUGAAGGCGGGUAGGUUGCUAAAGAUGCAUGGUGACGUGUAUCGUAGAGGAAUGGUUGCCCACGACAGAACCCGGCUUAUCGGCCGACUCCCAAU